GUCUGGAAACGGAUGAUAAUACCGGAUACGUCCUGUAGCGGAGACGCUAUAGGAGAAAGGCUUGCUGCUUCGAGAGCAGCCCACGUCGGAUUAGGUAGUUGGUGGGGUAAAGGCCUACCAAGCCUAUGAUCUGUAGCUGAUUUGAGAGGAUGAUCAGCCACACUGGGACUGAGAACGGCCCAGACUCCUACGGGAGGCAGCAGUGGGGAAUAUUGGACAAUGGGGGAAACCCUGAUCCAGCGAUGUCACGUGUGUGACGAAGGCCUUCGGGUUGUAAAGCACUUUUAUUAGGGAAGAUAAUGACGGUACCUAAAGAAAAAGCUCCGGCAAACUUCGUGCCAGCAGCCGCGGUAAUACGAAGGGAGCUAGCGUUGUUCGGAAUUACUGGGCGUAAAGGGCGUGUAGGCGGUUAUGUAAGUUAGAUGUGAAAGCCCUGGCUUAACCCAGGAACGGCAUUUAAUACUGCGUGACUAGAGUUCGAGAGGGGAAAGCGGAAUAGCGUGUGGAGCAGUGAAAUGCGUUGAUAUACGUUAGAACACCGGGGGCGAAGGCGGCUUUCUGGCUCGUAACUGACGCUGAGGCGCGAAAGCGUGGGGAGCAAACAGAAUUAGAUACCCUGGUAGUCCACGCUGUAAACGAUGAGUGCUAGAUGUUGGAUGGGUAUCCAUUCUGUGUCGCAGCUAACGCAAUAAGCACUCCGCCUGGGGAGUACGGUCGCAAGAUUAAAACUUAAAGGAAUUGACGGGGACCCGCACAAGCGGUGGAGCAUGUGGUUUAAUUCGAAGCUACGCGAAAAACCUUACCAGCUCUUGACAUAAAGGUUAUACGGAUAAGAAACUAUCUGGUCAUUUAGUUGGACCUUUACAGGUGCUGCAUGGCUGUCGUCAGUUCGUGUCGUGAGAUGUUGGGUUAUUCCCGCAACGAACGCAACCCCUUUUGCUAGUUGCCAACAGGUAAUGCUGGGAACUUUAGCGAUACCGCCGGUGAUAAACCGGAGGAAGGUGGGGAUGAUGUCAAGUCAUCAUGGCCCUUAUGGGCUGGGCUACACACGUGCUACAAUGGUGGUGACAAAGCGCAAGCAAAACAGCAAUGUGGAGCAAAUCGCAAAAAGCCGUCUCAGUUCAGAUUGUCCUCUGCAACUCGAGGGCAUGAAGUUGGAAUCGCUAGUAAUCGUAGAUCAGCACGCUACGGUGAAUACGUUCUCGGGUCUUGUACACACUGCCCGUCAUACCAUGGGAGUUGGUCUUAUCUUAAGGCGGUGAGCUGACCCGCAAGGGAGGCAGCCGACCACGGUAAGGUCGAUGACUGGGGUGAAGUCGUAACAAGGUA
RNAcentral lists this ribosomal RNA (1329 nucleotides) under metagenome. Its description in RNAcentral is "bacterial SSU rRNA". It matches the Rfam family "Bacterial small subunit ribosomal RNA", at positions 148 to 1498 of the family's 1533-position model. The record is from RNAcentral.